GACGAACGCUGGCGGCGUGCUUAACACAUGCAAGUCGAACGGAAAGGCCCUGCUUUUGUGGGGUACUCGAGUGGCGAACGGGUGAGUAACACGUGAGUAACCUGCCCUUGACUUUGGGAUAACUUCAGGAAACUGGGGCUAAUACCGGAUAGGAGCUCCUGCUGCAUGGUGGGGGUUGGAAAGUUUCGGCGGUUGGGGAUGGACUCGCGGCUUAUCAGCUUGUUGGUGGGGUAGUGGCUUACCAAGGCUUUGACGGGUAGCCGGCCUGAGAGGGUGACCGGCCACAUUGGGACGGAGAUACGGCCCAGACUCCUACGGGAGGCAGCAGUGGGGAAUAUUGCACAAUGGGCGGAAGCCUGAUGCAGCAACGCCGCGUGCGGGAUGACGGCCUUCGGGUUGUAAACCGCUUUCGCCUGUGACGAAGCGUGAGUGACGGUAAUGGGUAAAGAAGCACCGGCUAACUACGUG
Molecule: ribosomal RNA, 468 nt
Filed under: uncultured bacterium
Lineage: Bacteria
Description: partial 16S ribosomal RNA
Rfam family: Bacterial small subunit ribosomal RNA
Source: RNAcentral